RNAcentral lists this ribosomal RNA (444 nucleotides) under uncultured bacterium. Its description in RNAcentral is "partial 16S ribosomal RNA". It matches the Rfam family "Bacterial small subunit ribosomal RNA", at positions 339 to 795 of the family's 1533-position model. The record is from RNAcentral.
CUACGGGUGGCACCAGUGGGGAAUAUUGCACAAUGGGCGAAAGCCUGAUGCAGCAACGCCGCGUGAGGGACGACGGCCUUCGGGUUGUAAACCUCUUUUAGCAGGGAAGAAGCGAAAGUGACGGUACCUGCAGAAAAAGCACCGGCUAACUACGUGCCAGCAGCCGCGGUAAUACGUGGGGUGCAAGCGUUGUCCGGAAUUAUUGGGCGUAAAGAGCUCGUAGGCGGUUUGUCGCGUCUGCUGUGAAAAUCCGAGGCUCAACCUCGGACCUGCAGUGGGUACGGGCAAACUAGAGUGCGGUAGGGGAGAUUGGAAUUCCUGGUGUAGCGGUGGAAUGCGCAGAUAUCAGGAGGAACACCAAUGGCGAAGGCAGAUCUCUGGGCCGUAACUGACGCUGAGGAGCGAAAGCGUGGGGAGCGAACAGGAUUAGAUACCCGCGUAGUC